RNAcentral lists this ribosomal RNA (321 nucleotides) under uncultured eukaryote. RNAcentral's name for it is "partial 18S ribosomal RNA". It matches the Rfam family "Eukaryotic small subunit ribosomal RNA", at positions 1470 to 1796 of the family's 1831-position model. The record is from RNAcentral.
CCCUUAGAUGUCCUGGGCCGCACGCGCGCUACACUGACAUGUUCAACAAGCCUCCUAGUUCGACAGGAUUUGGGAAAUCUUUGAACGCAUGUCGUGAUAGGGAUAGAUCAUUGCAAUUAUUGAUCUUGAACGAGGAAUUCCUAGUAAACGCGAGUCAUCAGCUCGCAUUGAUUACGUCCCUGCCCUUUGUACACACCGCUCGUCGCACCUACCGAUUGAAUGUUUCGGUGAAGAUUCCGGAUAGGACUUUUUUGAUUUAUUUCAAUUCUGUCUUAAAAGCUAUCUAAACCUCAACAUUUAGAGGAAGGUGAAGUCGUAACA